Podarcis lilfordi (Lilford's wall lizard) is the source of this 76-nucleotide non-coding RNA. NCBI's taxonomy places the organism in Eukaryota, Metazoa, Chordata, Lepidosauria, Squamata, Lacertidae. The record is from the annotation of a GenBank genome assembly.
GCCUGGAUAGCUCAGCUGGUGAGAGCGCGUGGUGCUGAUAACAGCAAGGUUGCAGGUUCGACACCCGUAUGGGACA